CGGGACGUGGCGCAGCUCGGUAGCGCACUUGCUUCGGGAGCAAGGGGUCGCUGGUUCGAAUCCAGUCGUCCCGACCA
This 77-nucleotide transfer RNA is filed under the name bacterium. RNAcentral describes it as "tRNA-Pro". It matches the Rfam family "tRNA". Rfam says of the family: Transfer RNA (tRNA) molecules are approximately 80 nucleotides in length. Their secondary structure includes four short double-helical elements and three loops (D, anti-codon, and T loops). The record is from RNAcentral. RNAcentral also lists the same sequence under 2 other names.